CCGAGAAGCUGAGUAAAGGAGCCAAACUGAGAAAAACACAAGAUGGCACCUGUGUCCGAGACCGUGGGUUUAGCGUUAUGCCCUAGGAACCUGUUCAUCCCUUGGGCCAAAGACGCGAGAUACUGGACAUGGGACCAGAUCCCACUCGAGAGCCAAGAUUACUGUCAGAUCGACGUGCCAGAACUCUUGAACGUAUGCUGGCUCGAUGUCCGUGGGAAUUUCAACAUGUCACAGCUCACAGCGAAGACAUGGUAUGAGGUCGUGAUGGAAGUGAUGCAGAAAGAGCCAUGCCAAGGAUGGGCGUCACCAGUGACCCUUCAAGUCCGCAAGGCGGAAGUACCUCAACUUCCUGUCAAGUGACACUCGACUGCAUGCCGCGGAACAAAUGGCAGAACCUUGUCGUUGGCAACUUCGAGGCCACAGGAUCCGGGGAGGUCGAUUUCUCACUGAAGGAGACAUCGGGAUGCUGGAAGAAGGGGCUUCUCAUCAAAAGAGUCUUGGUCAAGCCUGUGAACCCCGGGGUGUGGUGUUAAGGGUUGGCUAUAUACCCGAAGGACAUGUGGAUCUCUUGGGCACGAGAUGCAAGAUACUGGAAGUGGAACUGCCUCUUGUUCAACAGCCAAGAUUACGGUGAGAUUGAGGUGCCAAAACUGUUGGGAGUAUCCUGGCUCGAGAUCCGUGGGAGCUUCGAGAUGUCGAAGCUCAAAGCAGGCGCAGCGUAUGAGGUCGUCAUCGUUGCAAUGUUGAAGGAGCCAUGUUCAGGGUGGGAGUCUCCGGUGACCCUUCAUCUGCUGAAGCCGGAUAGUAGCUCGACCUCGCGUGAAGUGACCCUCAAGGGCAUGCCCUCGAACAAAAUGGCUGGACCUCGUUGUUGGUGACUUCUUGGCAGCCGGAAGUGGCCAGGUAGAAUUCUCCAUGACGGAGACCAAGGCGGGGAACUGGAAGAAGGGGCUUAUCAUCAAACACGUCCUCAUCCGACCGGUGCACGACUAGGGGACACCAGCCAAAUUCCCAUGGUUAAUUUCUUAUGUCAUUGGCUUCCUCUGUUUUUUGCGUUGUAAUAAGCGGAGAGGUGCGUUAUUGCUGGCAGUAGCUAUCUGCAUGCGCCCACUCCAU
Phoenix dactylifera (date palm) is the source of this 1116-nucleotide non-coding RNA. Lineage: Eukaryota; Viridiplantae; Streptophyta; Magnoliopsida; Arecales; Arecaceae. The record is from RefSeq and is a predicted model, not a curated record.